Long non-coding RNA from Dermochelys coriacea (leatherback sea turtle), 2304 nucleotides. RefSeq lists it as uncharacterized. NCBI's taxonomy places the organism in Eukaryota, Metazoa, Chordata, Testudines, Dermochelyidae. The transcript has 3 exons. The record is from RefSeq and is a predicted model, not a curated record.
AACAAAUGAAGCUGGGACUGAAAAAACAGCUGCAUUAUGCUGCAGCCUCAAAUCCUGAUACAGCUCUAAGCUUUAGGAUUCGAAUGAACCCAACAAGAUUAUGCAAAGGGGCAGUAUAACUCUACACAUUAAUUAGAGCUAUGUGGAAGGACAUAUUUAUUUUGGGAACUUUCACGUCAGCACUGCUGCAGAAUGCUGGGGACAAGAAAAAGGGCAGAAUGUUAACAAACAGGUCCAACUGUCCAUUGACCCUUACCUCUGACAAAGCUGAAUCUUAGUGUUGUCAUGGAUUCUAGAGGUUUAUCUUGUAUGAGUAUCCUUGUCUUCCAAUGGCAUGACAAAGAGAAUAAAGGGGAGGAUGGACAAAGACGAAGAAAGGAUAAAAGAGUAUGACAGGAAAUAUGAUGAGGAAGCAGCUCUUCCUUUUUGAUUCAAAUGCUUUUACUGUUUGUAAGCCAACAUUUUGGUACAUUUGUUUUUAUAAGUCAAUUUCCAUUACACAAUGAUCACUAUAUGUUUUUCCUUCAGCUAUCUCUGGUCUAUGUGUCUUCAUAUAAGAAGAAAAUGUAUGGCCUGAUUAUGCUCUUAUUUGCACUAGUGUAAAUCAGCAGUAACUCCUGGAGACACUGGAGAUAUACUGAUGUCAAGCUGGUGUAAGCUCAAAGAGAAUAGGUUUCUUGCAUUUAGACUGUUAGUACUGCAUAUGCAAGUGUCAUGAAAGUGCAACUAGAGUAGGCAUCAUAACAUAAUCCCUCCGGAUGCUCUACUCACGGAAUUUCUCAAUGAGCUCAGCAGGAGUUCUACAGUAGAGUACAGGUAUGAUUGGACAGGCUCAUGACAUUUACUGUGACAAUGCAUAUAUUGAUGCCAUAGGCAGGUAUAGCUGCAAGAGACUUCCAGUGCCUGCACAUUGACUGGGAUUUUCAAAAGAGCCUAAGGAAGUUAGGUUCCUAACUCACAUUGAAAGUUUAUGGAAACUGGUGCCUGAUUCCCUCAGGUCCUUUAGAAACUGCCAGGCCUGAUGUAUUAAAGCAUUGGUUGUGUUCUUUGUGGGCUUGUAUUUACAUGCUCAUAACUUUUGAACAAAUUCUUCUUUUGGACGUGGUUAUUCUCAAUCCAAUUUCCAGUCCAAACUUUCAUGCUUCUUCUAAGCUGAAUGGUGAAUUUUUGUUGGGAAGUUUACUUAUAAACCACAACUGUUUGUGAAUUGUAUGACAGUGAAAAAUCAGAUUAUUCUUCUGCUGUGAAAAAGAUUUAAAGGUUUAGUUUUUAUGCCUGGUGGGAGGGUACUCAUCCAAAGCAGGAGAAGGAGAGGGAGGAGACUACGUAUUUGAUCCAAAGCCCCGUGAAGUGAAUAGAAAGAUUCCCAUUGAUUUCACUGGCUUUGGAUCAGGCCCUGUGGGAGUGUUUCCCAAAAUGUGAGUCAGGACUCCAAAUGGGGUUGUGCCAUCAGCAGAUGGGGUCAUGGAGAUCCAUAGUCUAUGAAGGAUGUCAUUUUGCUCUGCAUAGCAUGAACUCGCAUGUAUGGUAUGUGUGUGUGUGAGGUCAUGAUGCCAGGAGGAUGGCAUUUUGCUCUACAAAAUGGCAUCCUCCAUGUGGUGUGACAUUGUACAUAUGCUGUGUGCACUGUCAUACUAUGUGUAGGAUGCCAUUUUGCUCUUCAAAAUGGUGUCAUCCAUGCUGUCUGAGAUUCUGGCAGGAAAUACUUCAUUAAAAUGGGCUCAUGCCAGCAAAAGUUUGAGAACCCCUGAUAUAUGGGUAGGGAGGAUGUGGACUGAUGGCAAAGGAGGGAGAGAAGAAACUCAGCUCACAUCGUUCACCUUCAAUGUACUGUGUUCAUCUUAAGGGUUCUAAGGAUUAAAGCAGAUAUGUAACUGCUUAACUGUAAGCCAUAUACCUAGAUCCAGCUGACCUUUGUUAGGUACAAGAACCAGGGUGGCAAGCGAAAGGUCAAAGCCACCUUUCUGGUUUCCUGAUCCUUGGCCUGAAUGGGAGCUGAACUGAUCUGCAGCAUAAUUCAGAGCAGCCUAAGGGCUACUCUAACUUACACUGGCUAGAGCAUCCUUUCAGGACCUCUCCUUUGGCUGGGAAACACCUGCAUACAGUGUAAUAUGGUUCCACCCCUCAAACCUCCUGUGAUGCUUUCACCUACAUACAAAUACUCCUCCUUCCCCCUCCCUUUCCUGACUGAGCAGGGCAGAGAGCAGGUGGCAAAGUCUUACAAGUUUUACAAAGCCCAGGUCUUGCAUAGUUUCCAUCAGGAAAAAUGGCUAUUAAUAGCUGGGAAAAAUAAUUUUCCAUAUU